Molecule: long non-coding RNA, 1036 nt
Organism: Megalobrama amblycephala (Wuchang bream)
Lineage: Eukaryota; Metazoa; Chordata; Actinopteri; Cypriniformes; Xenocyprididae
Exons: 5
Source: RefSeq, a predicted model, not a curated record
GCCUUAAUUGAACUAAGGCCUAAUCCUGGUUUAGUCUAAGCCCUGUCUUUGAAACCGGGCCUAGAAGUGUGUAAUUCACAAUACAACGUUUUUUCUCUAAUGUUCAAAGUAAAUUUAACUUUAGAAUUGAACUAAUGAUCUUCGAUGGGAAAUGUUGUAGUUUUUGUGGGGCAUACAGAGGAAACUGACACCGGGACAGCAUCAUUUCACAAACAGAAUCACAAAAAUAUUAAGCAGAACAACAGUGAUAAUAAUAUGAAAUAUUUUUCAACAUUGAUAAUAUUUUUUUCCCAGCGAAUCAGAUGACACAGAAUGACUGAUGCUGAAAAUUCAGCUUUGCCAUUACACUCAAAAAAAUGAUUCUUGCCACUAUUUGAAAUUAAGCAAAAAAAUCUAAUAAAACAUAUUUAAAAACUAAUAAAAAUACCUAUUAUUACUACAAAUUACUUUUAUACAACAUGAAUGAAAUGGAUACAAGACCAACCUGAUCAAAUUACAUAAACUAUACUUAAUUUGUUGCCAUAAGGCGCAAAUGCAAGUGUUGCGCAUGCUCACUGAAGUCUGAGUUCAAAAAACAACAUCUGAAGGCGCAAUGGCGAUCUACUGUCUGACUCAGCGAAAAGGAGGAUUUGGAUGAAUAGAUGUGGAUGUUUUACAAGAAACCUCAUCAGUGGGACAAUAACUCAAUUAUGAUAUGUGAGUUUUGUGGAAACGUAAAGUGUGUGGAAGAAGCAUCACAGAAGUAUCCAGUAUGUUUAAGUAAUUGAAACAUUCUAAGAUUAAAUUUGGACAUUUUGAGGAGAGAUUCAGUCAACCUGUUCACAGUAAAUUAAAUAAAAGCGGAAUUAAUGCGGAUAACGACUGUGCCACUUCUGUCAAUGUUCAUAGCAGCUGGACAUAUACACUGACAAAAGAUAUCACACACAUUGCAGUUGCAGACAAGUGCGAAGAUAUACACUUCAAAUGAGACUGUGUCAUAAAGAGUCUGUGUGUGUAUCUCAAUGGGGACAUUACAACACUUCCAGUUCUCCAGAAU